UCAAACUAUUUUGUUUGUUGUUCUGCUGCUAAUUAUGCUGAACUAGCAAAAAGUGAAUAGCAAAGACUCUAUUCCCACAUUGCUGGAAGUUAAGGCUGCCCCCCCCCCCCCAAUACGUGAGAUAAGCCAUUGCCUAGGCUGCCCCCCCCAUAGGCGAGAUAAGCCAUUGCCUAGGUUGCCAACUGAAAAUGGUCAGGUCCAGUUGGGGAGCAUGCACUGAAGCAGCACGUUGUCGCCCCCACCACAUAGCGAAACUCCUCGGGAUCCCGGCUGGCCACGUCCCAGGAAGAUACACAGUCCAGUCCCACCCUCCGGAAAUGGCUAUCCAUCUGCUGCAGCCAGGUGUUACGUGGGCGUCCCCUCGGCCUGGUCCAGCCACUCAGGUCCUCAGUAAUGAGGAUCCAGCGAGCUGGAUCACCCUCAGGGAAACGCGCCACAUGGCUGUAGUGCCGUAACUGACGCUCCGCACAUGCUUCUAGCAACCACUCGUUCAUCAUAAAGUCAAACCAGCUGAACCUUCCUGUGAGUGGCUGCAGCAGAGCUUCUCCCACAGAGAGCAGAAGGGUGUCCGGCCUGGCUAGAUCGAGCUGCUGUGAGUUGUUUUACGGUGGCUGGAGUGCCAAUCCCACUACCAACCCCCAAAAUGUUUCACUGCAAGUUGAAGGACCAUUGCAGGGCCGGAUGCAGUUUAACAUCAUACCCAGGACUUCAAAAAGAGCGAGUGAAAAAACAUUUGAAGAAUUAACUCUGGUUGCACUGCAUGACGCAGUUUGCAUUGUAUUCCUCAGGCUAUAUGGUGUCAGCCCCAGUCUACCACCGUUGUCUCUACCACUGCCACAGAAACUUUGGUAUGCCAGCUCAUAACUCAAAAACCAUUGAAUGGAUCUUUCUCAAACUUAGUGACGCUUAUUGACAGUGUAGGGAAGGGUGAAAGCAGAUCACAAAAAGUAUUUGAUGCAUCUUAUUACAGUGUCACAAAAACAUUAUAUGGAUGAAGAUCUACAUCUGUUUUCAUUUUUAGACAAAUUGCACCAAAAAUGAAGCAGCAGUGAAAUGAGGGAACAGAAGCAAACGGCAGCUUUAGAGGACAAUCUUGUUGCUUGUAGUUAAUCCCCUGUAUUCUGUAAUAUGUUCACUGUAUUAAUUUUACUGUGGAGAUGGAGCCCAGGUGUCAAACCACUGAUGUUCACUGUAUUAAUUUUACUGUGGAGAUAGAGCCCAGGUGUCAAACCACUGAUGUUCACUGUAUUAAUUUUACAGUGGAGAUGGAGCCCAGGUGUCAAACCACUGAUGUUCACUGUAUUAAUUUUACUGUGGAGAUGGAGCCCAGGUGUCAAACCACUGAUGUUCACUGUAUUAAUUUUACUGUGGAGAUGGAGCCCAGGUGUCAAACCACUGAUGUUCACUGUAUUAAUUUUACUGUGGAGAUGGAGCCCAGGUGUCAAACCACUGAUGUUCACUGUAUUUAUUUUACUGUGGAGAUGGAGCCCAGGUGUCAAACCACUGACACACAACGUAAACAUUUUUCUCUCCCUUUGCCGCUUCCUAACCCCCCUCAGGAGUUCUAAUGCAAAGCUGUCAGAGCCAUUUCCUUCAAAGCUGUCUGAGCCCCAUUGGCUAUUUUCUCCUUAUUUUGUACUUUAUGUCAACAGAAGAGACCACCUUAUGGUGUGUGUAAAAAACCAUUGGGGACAUUGCAGGAAGUGAUGAAGAUUAGAGACAGGAAAUGGGCCUCAUGUCUAGUUCUUAUUUUUGGGCUUUUUUUGUGGUAAUGUGAGAUGAUAGAAGUACCUGAAUAUGAAAUUACUGAUCUUUUAAGCACCCACCCUAUAUAGCAUUUCCACAAAACUCAUCGUCAGUGGAUAAAAUGAGCCCUCUACAUCUAUAUGCUGGAGAAGGCGUGCGAAAAAAUCAUCGUAAAUCAUCAUGACGGAAAGAUAUCCAGCUGUUACAUUUGUGAUUUUGUGAACAAUUUUCUUUAUUCAUGUAAUAAUUUGUUGCUGAAAAUGCGAUGAAGCCAGGAUCUGCAGCUUCCUCGCCUCGCGGCCAAGGGCAGGGCGUGGGCCUCGUUAGGUCCAAUCACCUGGGGCAAUAUCCCCGAUGCUACUCUUUCAAGUCAAGCCCUGGGUAAAGUUCACUUAGCCCCUGAUAUUUUUGAUAGCUAGAAACACCCUAGGGCUUGGUAAUACAACAGUUAAGCUUCACUGUGAAUUGUGUGGAUUCCCAGAUGUUAAGCCUGCUUUAC
Molecule: long non-coding RNA, 2245 nt
Organism: Brienomyrus brachyistius
Lineage: Eukaryota; Metazoa; Chordata; Actinopteri; Osteoglossiformes; Mormyridae
Exons: 3
Source: RefSeq, a predicted model, not a curated record